Molecule: long non-coding RNA, 928 nt
Filed under: Brassica napus (rape)
Lineage: Eukaryota; Viridiplantae; Streptophyta; Magnoliopsida; Brassicales; Brassicaceae
Description: long non-coding RNA (BNAP_LNC015541)
Source: RNAcentral
UGGAUUCAUUGAGAGAUGCAAGCUAUCGCUUAUGUCUACAACUCCUAGGGCAAGUUCUAUGUAGCUAAUCUAGAAACAUGCAUUAAUGAUAAUCCUAAAGAUGAAUAUCACAACUUAGCAAUCUAUAGUUGGGGAUAAUCCCUCGUAACCUAUUUAAACCCUAGAUCUAACAAAGAGAACUACUCAGACAUUGCUAAGCAAUUCAUAACAGGAAUAAGAUACAAAAACUGCAUAGAUAAAUAAAUAGAUAUCAAUGGAGUUCCAAUCACAAAUCUCUUUGGAUCUUCUCUCCAAUCUACUAAAAAUCCUAGAAAACCUUGCUGUGAAAAUAAUAAAACAAGAAAGCACACUUUGCCUCUAACAUGUUGGCAAAGCUUAUAUAAUUGGUUUAAAACUCGUCAUGGGUAAUCUUGUAAAUAGGUGAAGACUUGGGCUCUUAGUCGGCUGAGACCAAACGGGCUUUCUGCGCGCUUCGCUGUCGAUCAAUGUUACGAUGUGAACAUCGAUCGAUUAUUUCUCUUCAAUGUCGACCGAUGGUCGUGCUCGAUGGUCAUCUCGGGUGCUUACUCCAAACAUCUCCAAAAUGCUUCAAAAUCAUCACUUUCCUCCAAAUCAAUCAUGAUCCUAUAAAUAUGCUAAAUAAACUCUAUAAUAAAAUAAUUAGUACUUAAAACACUUAUAAACCAUGGGUAAAAGUAGGUCAAAUCCAUGGUCUAUCAACUUCCCCAGACUUACCCUUUUGCUUUUCCUCAAGCAAAACAUACAUGCAGUCUCUCUGAAAGAGGUUUGAAAAUAGCAGGGACUCACAAAUUAAAACUUAGAAUCAACACCUUAGACAAUCCUAAUUUUAGAAGCACACUAUACCAUAUCCUAAUCUAGCAACCAAGUUCAUCUAGUCAAAAACUUAGCAAAUCAUGUUUGACAAUCC